UCGCGUUAACGCGCGGUAAUUAAUUUUUUAAAUUAAUCACGUUAAAAUAUUUGAUGCAAUUAACGCACAUGUCCCGCUCAGAAAGUAUUCUGCCUUUUGGUAAAUUUUACAGCAAGACUUUGUGCUGUCCAACAGCGAACUCUUGUGGUCGCUUUGCGACAUGGUUUAUUGUUUUCUUUCCAGUUCAUUAUGGCUGCACGACGUCUCGGGCUGUUAAUGUUGUGCUUGUAUGAUCCUUGGACAAGAUUUGUCCGUGACGGAUCUGAUAAAUCUGAUAAAUCUGAGAACACUGGCACUAGCAGGAUGAGGAUCAAUCUGGACAACGCUUUUACAUGACAAAAAUAAGCCAAUCAUGAGACCAGUUUCCAGUCUUCAUCCGGGUUUCCACAGCUCUGUAAACCAUGGCCUGAUUUAAUAUUUAUGCGAUGGCGAAGACCCUACAAUGGCUGGCACAAGAAACAUGGAUAAAGCUAAAGCAUUGAACCUUUGACCUGAAGUAGCCUCGGUGAUACAACAGUUUCCUGGAUGGGCAGUGUCACCGUUAAAGUCUCGUCUGUGUUAAACCAGCACAUGUCAAGCCUCCAAACUCCAGCAUUCAUUUAUUCAGAGCUCCACCGGCAUCCUCAAAUGUCCCCGUCUCUCUGCGUCAAGCUCAAAAGACACUUGGGGCGUCCUGUGAUGUGGAGCAGAAUGCUGAUG
Molecule: long non-coding RNA, 699 nt
Organism: Corythoichthys intestinalis (scribbled pipefish)
Lineage: Eukaryota; Metazoa; Chordata; Actinopteri; Syngnathiformes; Syngnathidae
Exons: 4
Source: RefSeq, a predicted model, not a curated record